This 428-nucleotide ribosomal RNA is filed under the name uncultured bacterium. Its description in RNAcentral is "bacterial SSU rRNA". It matches the Rfam family "Bacterial small subunit ribosomal RNA", at positions 354 to 774 of the family's 1533-position model. The record is from RNAcentral.
GUGGGGAAUUUUGCGCAAUGGGCGAAAGCCUGACGCAGCAACGCCGCGUGGGUGAUGAAGGUCUUCGGAUCGUAAAACCCUGUCGUCAGGGACGAAGGUUCUGGGGUGAAUAGCCCCAGGAUUUGACGGUACCUGGAGAGGAAGCCCCGGCUAACUCUGUGCCAGCAGCCGCGGUAAUACAGAGGGGGCAAGCGUUAUUCGGAAUUAUUGGGCGUAAAGGGCGCGUAGGCGGUGUCUUAAGUGGGAUGUGCAAUCCCCGGGCUUAACCUGGGAACUGCAUCCCAGACUGGGACGCUGGAGUACUGGAGAGGGUGGUGGAAUUCCACGUGUAGCGGUGAAAUGCGUAGAGAUGUGGAGGAACACCAGUGGCGAAGGCGGCCACCUGGACAGUAACUGACGCUGAGGCGCGAAAGUGUGGGUAGCAAACA